Long non-coding RNA from Astyanax mexicanus (Mexican tetra), 568 nucleotides. RefSeq lists it as uncharacterized. NCBI's taxonomy places the organism in Eukaryota, Metazoa, Chordata, Actinopteri, Characiformes, Acestrorhamphidae. The transcript is spliced from 4 exons. The record is from RefSeq and is a predicted model, not a curated record.
UACAAACAAGGGGUGGGGCUGCAGUUGCUGAUUUGGUGCUGGUGUAGAUGUUUGGGUGUAGAUGUUUGGGUGUAGAUGUUUGGGUGUAGAUGUUUGGGAGUAGAUGUUUGGGUGUAGAUGUUUGGGAGUAGGUGUUUGGGAGUAGGUGUUUGGGAGUAGGUGUUUGGGAGUAGAUGUUUGGGUGUAGAUGUUUGGGAGUAGAUGUUUGGGUGUAGAUGUUUGGGAGUAGAUGUUUGGGUGUAGAUGUUUGGGAGUAGGUGUUUGGGUGUAGGUGUUUGGGUGUAGGUGUUUGGGUGUAGGUGUUUGGGUGUAGGUGUUUGGGUGUAGGUGUUUGGGUGUAGGUGUUUGGGUGUAGGUGUUUGGGAGUAGAUGUUUGGGAGUAGGUGUUUGGGUGUAGGUGUUUGGGAGUAGGUGUUUGGGAGUAGGUGUUUGGGUGUAGAUGGUUGGGUGUAGAUGUUUGGGAGUAGAUGUUUGGGAGUAGGUGUUUGGGUGUAGAUGUUUGGGUGUAGGUGUUUGGGUGUAGAUGUUUGGGAGUAGGUGUUUGGGAGUAGGUGUUUGGGUGUAGAUG